RNAcentral lists this non-coding RNA (102 nucleotides) under Proteiniborus sp. DW1. Its description in RNAcentral is "Purine riboswitch aptamer". It matches the Rfam family "Purine riboswitch aptamer". Rfam says of the family: Riboswitches are metabolite binding domains within certain messenger RNAs that serve as precision sensors for their corresponding targets. Allosteric rearrangement of mRNA structure is mediated by ligand binding, and this results in modulation of gene expression. A class of riboswitches that selectively recognises guanine and becomes saturated at concentrations as low as 5 nM. Lineage: Bacteria; Bacillati; Bacillota; Clostridia; Eubacteriales. RNAcentral also lists the same sequence under 1 other name. The record is from Rfam by way of RNAcentral.
AUUUAAAAAUAAUAUUGUGCCCAUAUAAAUCUCAGGAUAUGGCUGAGAAGUUUCUACCAAGUGACCGUAAAUCACUUGACUAUGGAUGAAAGUGUACCUAGG